GACGAACGCUGGCGGCGUGCUUAACACAUGCAAGUCGAACGGAAAGGCCCUGCUUUUGUGGGGUGCUCGAGUGGCGAACGGGUGAGUAACACGUGAGUAACCUGCCCUUGACUUUGGGAUAACUUCAGGAAACUGGGGCUAAUACCGGAUAGGAGCUCCUGCUGCAUGGUGGGGGUUGGAAAGUUUCGGCGGUUGGGGAUGGACUCGCGGCUUAUCAGCUUGUUGGUGGGGUAGUGGCUUACCAAGGCUUUGACGGGUAGCCGGCCUGGGAGGGUGACCGGCCACAUGGGGACUGGGAUACGGCCCGGACUCAUACGGGAGGAAGAGGUGGGAAAUAUUGCACAAUGGGCGGAGGCCUGAUGCAACAACGCCGCGUGCGGGAUGACGGCCUUCGGGUUGUAAACCGCUUUCGCCUGUGACGAAGCGUGAGGAAGGGAAAUGGGUAAAGAGGCACCGGCAAACUACGU
Molecule: ribosomal RNA, 467 nt
Filed under: uncultured bacterium
Lineage: Bacteria
Description: partial 16S ribosomal RNA
Rfam family: Bacterial small subunit ribosomal RNA
Source: RNAcentral